This 497-nucleotide ribosomal RNA is filed under the name uncultured bacterium. RNAcentral describes it as "partial 16S ribosomal RNA". It matches the Rfam family "Bacterial small subunit ribosomal RNA", at positions 28 to 507 of the family's 1533-position model. The record is from RNAcentral.
GAUGAACGCUGGCGGCGUGCCUAAUACAUGCAAGUCGAGCGAACGGACCAUAAUCUUGCUUCUCUGAUGUUAGCGGCGGACGGGUGUGUAACACGUGUAUAACCUACCUAUCAGACUGGUAUCACUUCGGGAAUCCGGCGCUAAUACCGUAUAAUCUUUUGCACCGCAUUGUUCAAUAGUGAAAUUCGGUCUUUCUGUCACUUAUAGAUGGAUCCGCGCUUCAUUAGCUAGUUGGUAAGUUAACGGCUUACCAAGGCAACGAUGCCUAGACGACCUGAGAGGGUGAUCGGCCACACUGGAAGUGAGACAGGGACAAGAGGACUAAGGGAGGGAGCAGAAGGGAAUCGUACGCAAUGGGCGAAAGCAUGACGGAGCAACGCCGCGUGAGUGAUGAAGGUGUUCGGAGCGUAAAAAUCUGUUAUUAGGGAAGAACAUAUGUGUAAGGAACUGUGCAGAGAGUGACGGUAACGAAUCAGAAAGCAACGGCUAACUACGUG